GUUUAGUAAAGAGAGACGGUUAGCACUCCCCUUGAGAAGGAUGGAAGAGGUCCUAGUGGCCUUCUACCCACAUGCGGUUCAGGCUUCGUCACUUAAUUCGCCGCAUCGCUAACGAAGUUGUUUU
Small nuclear RNA from Polyodon spathula (Mississippi paddlefish), 124 nucleotides. The record is from RefSeq and is a predicted model, not a curated record. NCBI's taxonomy places the organism in Eukaryota, Metazoa, Chordata, Actinopteri, Acipenseriformes, Polyodontidae.